AGGACGAACGCUGGCGGCGUGCUUAACACAUGCAAGUCGAACGGAAAGGCCCCUUCGGGGGUACUCGAGUGGCGAACGGGUGAGUAACACGUGGGCAACCUGCCCCUAGCUCUGGGAUAACACUUGGAAACAGGUGCUAAUACCGGAUAACGACCUCUCAUGGCAUCAUGAAUGGUCCAAAGUUUUUCGGCUAGGGAUGGGCCCGCGGCCUAUCAGCUUGUUGGUGGGGUAACAGCCUACCAAGGCGACGACGGGUAGCCGGCCUGAGAGGGCGACCGGCCACACUGGGACUGAGACACGGCCCAGACUCCUACGGGAGGCAGCAGUGGGGAAUAUUGCGCAAUGGGCGAAAGCCUGACGCAGCGACGCCGCGUGAGGGAUGACGGCCUUCGGGUUGUAAACCUCUUUCAGCAGGAACGAAUCAAGACGGUACCUGCAGAAGAAGCACCGGCUAACUACGUGCCAGCAGCCGC
This 473-nucleotide ribosomal RNA is filed under the name uncultured bacterium. RNAcentral describes it as "SSU rRNA". It matches the Rfam family "Bacterial small subunit ribosomal RNA", at positions 26 to 518 of the family's 1533-position model. The record is from RNAcentral.